GCCUGGGUGGCUCAGCUGGUUAAGUGUCUGACUUUGGCUCAGGCCAUGAUCUCACAGUCUGGGAGUUCAAGCCCCUCUUCAGGCU
RNAcentral lists this transfer RNA (85 nucleotides) under Felis catus (domestic cat). It matches the Rfam family "tRNA". From Rfam's summary of the family: Transfer RNA (tRNA) molecules are approximately 80 nucleotides in length. Lineage: Eukaryota; Metazoa; Chordata; Mammalia; Carnivora; Felidae. The record is from Rfam by way of RNAcentral.